CUACGGGCGGCAGCAGUGGGGAAUAUUGCACAAUGGACGAAAGUCUGAUGCAGCAACGCUGCGUGGAGGAUGACACAUUUCGGUGCGUAAACUCCUUUUAUAUAGGAAGAUAAUGACGGUACUAUAUGAAUAAGCGCCGGCUAACUCCGUGCCAGCAGCCGCGGUAAUACGGAGGGCGCAAGCGUUACUCGGAAUCACUGGGCGUAAAGAGCGUGUAGGCGGAUAGAUAAGUCAGGAGUGAAAUCCUAUGGCUCAACCAUAGAACUGCUCUUGAAACUGUCUAUCUAGAAUAUGGGAGAGGUAGAUGGAAUUUCUGGUGUAGGGGUAAAAUCCGUAGAGAUCAGAAGGAAUACCGAUUGCGAAGGCGAUCUACUGGAACAUUAUUGACGCUGAGACGCGAAAGCGUGGGGAGCAAACAGGAUUAGAUACCCUUGUAGUC
This 439-nucleotide ribosomal RNA is filed under the name uncultured bacterium. RNAcentral's name for it is "partial 16S ribosomal RNA". It matches the Rfam family "Bacterial small subunit ribosomal RNA", at positions 339 to 795 of the family's 1533-position model. The record is from RNAcentral.